GACGAACGCUGGCGGCGUGCUUAACACAUGCAAGUCGAACGGAAAGGCCCUGCUUUUGUGGGGUGCUCGAGUGGCGAACGGGUGAGUAACACGUGAGUAACCUGCCCUUGACUUUGGGAUAACUUCAGGAAACUGGGGCUAAUACCGGAUAGGAGCUCCUGCUGCAGGGUGGGGGUUGGACAGUUUCGGCGGUUGGGGAUGGACUCGCGGCUUAUCAGCUUGUUGGUGGGGUAGUGGCUUACCAAGGCUUUGACUGGUAGCCGGCCUGAGGGGGUGACCGGCCACAUUGGGACUGCGGUACGGCCCAGACUCCUACGGGAGGCAGCAGUGGGGAAUAUUGCACAACGGGGGGAAGCCUGAUGCAGCAACGCCGCGUGCGGGAUGACGGCCUUCGGGUUGUAAACCGCUUUCGCCUGUGACGAAGCGUGAGUGACGGUAAUGGGUAAAGAAGCACCGGCUAACUACGUG
RNAcentral lists this ribosomal RNA (468 nucleotides) under uncultured bacterium. Its description in RNAcentral is "partial 16S ribosomal RNA". It matches the Rfam family "Bacterial small subunit ribosomal RNA", at positions 28 to 507 of the family's 1533-position model. The record is from RNAcentral.